Jaculus jaculus (lesser Egyptian jerboa) is the source of this 111-nucleotide small nuclear RNA. The record is from Ensembl. Lineage: Eukaryota; Metazoa; Chordata; Mammalia; Rodentia; Dipodidae.
GUGCUUGCUUGCUUCAACAGCACAUACACUAAAAUUGGAAUGAUACAGAGAAGAUUAGCAUAGCCCCUGCACAAGGAUGACACAUAAAUUCGUGAAGUGUUCCAUAUUUAA